AGAGUUUGAUCCUGGCUCAGAAUCAACGCUGGCGGCGCGCCUAACACAUGCAAGUCGAACGAGAAAGUGGAGCAAUCCAUGAGUAAAGUGGCGUACGGGUGAGUAACACGUGGAUAAUCUGCCCUUUAGUGGGGAAUACCGUUGGGAAACCGACGACAAUACCGCAUAAGCUCGAGAGAGGAAAGCAGCAAUGCGCUGAAGGAGGAGUCCGCGGUCGAUUAGCUAGUUGGUGAGGUAAUGGCUCACCAAGGCUGUGAUCGAUAGCCGGCCUGAGAGGGCACACGGCCACACUGGCACUGAAACACGGGCCAGACUCCUACGGGAGGCAGCAGUGGGGAAUCUUGCACAAUGGGGGAAACCCUGAUGCAGCGACGCCGCGUGAGCGAUGAAGCCCUUCGGGGUGUAAAGCUCUUUCGGCAGGGAAGAUAAUGACGGUACCUGCAGAAGCAGCUGCGGCCAACUACGUGCCAGCAGCCGCGGUAAUACGUAGGCAGCAAGCGUUGUUCGGAGUUACUGGGCGUAAAGGGUGCGUAGGCGGCUCUAUAAGUAUGGUGUGAAAUCUCCCGGCUUAACUGGGAGGGUGCGCUAUAGACUGUGGGGCUAGAGUGUGGGAGAGGAAAGUGGAAUUCCUGGUGUAGCGGUGAAAUGCGUAGAUAUCAGGAGGAACACCGGUGGUGUAAACGGCUUUCUGGACCAUAACUGACGCUGAGGCACGAAAGCGUGGGUAGCAAACAGGAUUAGAUACCCUAGUAGUCC
This 756-nucleotide ribosomal RNA is filed under the name uncultured bacterium. RNAcentral's name for it is "bacterial SSU rRNA". It matches the Rfam family "Bacterial small subunit ribosomal RNA", at positions 8 to 796 of the family's 1533-position model. The record is from RNAcentral.